Molecule: ribosomal RNA, 106 nt
Organism: Gordonia effusa NBRC 100432
Lineage: Bacteria; Bacillati; Actinomycetota; Actinomycetes; Mycobacteriales; Gordoniaceae
Rfam family: Bacterial large subunit ribosomal RNA
Source: Rfam
UUAGCGGGGUUAAGGCCCCCCACAGACCAUGGGGUUGAUAGGCCAGAACUGUACGCACCGCAAGGUGUUUAGGUGACUGGUACUAAUCGGCCGAGGACUUACCAAC